This is a long non-coding RNA of Aphis gossypii (cotton aphid), 582 nucleotides long. RefSeq lists it as uncharacterized. The record is from RefSeq and is a predicted model, not a curated record. The transcript has 2 exons. NCBI's taxonomy places the organism in Eukaryota, Metazoa, Arthropoda, Insecta, Hemiptera, Aphididae.
ACAUUCAAACUAAGUUAUAUAUAUCUAUGGAUCUUUUACAAAAAAAAAUAAAAUAAUGCUUAUUAUAAAAUAUAAAAAUAAUGAAAUAUUAAACAUAUCAAAGGAGAUGUUUAAUUUAAAAAUUUCAUAUGGAAAUAAAUACUAGACAAGAGAGUCAAAAAGAUGUUCUCUGGAUGUACCGAGUGUAACAUGAGCCUGUAGUAAUAGGUGAAAGGUCCAAAAGGGUGAUACCAUAUUUCAAAAUGGAAAAGUAUUAUGAUUCUUUCACAAAAAGAAAAUCACUGUUAAUGUUUUUGGUAUGAACAAGUUUUGGCUGGUGAUCUAUCUGAAAAUUGUAACAUUCCUUUUUUGUUAAAUUGUAAACAGAAAUAAUAAAACCAAGUUUUUUUAAAAAAAAUCUUUGUUAUUAUAAAGACAUGUGCUUGAUAAAAAGUCUUUUCCAAUACGGGAUUAAGAUAAUUGGUUGAUUGUCUUGUUGUUUAUGUUGAUCCAUUAUUAUGAGAAAAUAACACGUGAACCAAUUUUUAUUAUUCUCCUUAAACAGUUUAAACUUAUUAUGCCCAUUAUUUUUUUAAAAACAAA